GCCCCUUUUAGCCUGGGCUUGAGCGCGCGCAGGAAGUAAGCUUCGUGAUUUCCUUCUCAGGAUGGAACCAGCUUGGUGGCUUGAGGGUAACAGAGGCUUUUUGAAGGACUGAUGUAGGGCCACACUCCCUUUCUUCACACCUUCCUCUCAGCAGUCCCAUGAGCCCCUCCUCCUUUCGUGGCCUUCCUGCAACUGAGACACAAAAUGGGAGCCCCUGCACACACCCCGGGCUACUAGGGAACACCAGAGGAUGCCUCCUGCCCCGCGCCACCCCAUGCCUGGGCAGUCAGGGAGAGAGAAGGCAGCACAGCCUCCGAGCAUGGGGCCACCGUAACACGGAGCCUUUCCCUGCUUUUGGGCUUCCUGUCCUCUGGGAGUGGCCCGGCCCCCUGGGCCGCAGCUCUUCUGGCUCCCAAAGACUGUGUCCUCUUGCCUGCCCGGGCACUGUUCUCCUGGCAAGGCCUCUCCCAACAGGCUCAAAAGGCAUCCUGCCCAAGAGACUGGGGCAGCUGGGGGGCCGCAGGGUGGCUGCAGGGUGGUCUGGACCGUAAAGCUGAUGGUCCAAAGUGGAGGGAGAAGUCCCAUCAGGACAUAGAUGUGACCAGAGGAGAAAUGCUGGUGGAGGACACCAGCCCCCAUGGCGCUUGGUUUCUGUUGUGUCGCUGGGCUGGGCUCACCCUGGAGUCUGAAGGAUGGCGAAGGGCCGUGGCUGGCUUUUGCCGAGACACCAGCAGACAGUGGGUUGGAAGAGAAGAAAGCCCCUGGACUCCUGACUCACCCAGGCUUGAGCCUCCUGUCCUGAUUGCUUAGUUCUGGAUGCUUCCAUGCUUCUCCUCUGUCCCCACCCAAGGCAAGGGAACUGGUUUGGUUACCACUGCCAUCUGCUCCACCUCAGUCUCUCCCUCAGCCCUCACCUGAGGCAAGGCUGCCCCGCUACCAGACCUAGAUAGCACAGGACUGCCCUUGGCUGUCACCUCUGCUACAGAGGCAGGAGCUACUGUUUCAUGUGUUUGUCACUAAGUGUGGGAUGGCGUUUAUCAUAUCUGGCUUACAGGUGGAGAAGGCAGAAAACUGUUCACUGACUUGCUCAGAUUCACUUAGUGACCUGAGGUCUAAGCCCAGCUGUGCUGCCUCCCUGCUAAAGGCUCUGACCGUUUCUGGAAGCAGGGGGCCUGUCUAUCCACAGCCAUGGAGCUGAAGUGCAGAGGGGCCAAACCAGCUGCCUCCAGACGCCCAAGACCCUGCGGCCUCAAUACCUACUCAGGGGUCAUGCCAGGGGCCACAAGGUCUCUCUCUGGCCAGACAAGUGCCUCCUGCUGCCAGGACUCAGGGCAAUAGUGAGGCAAGAGGGUGGAGUCCCUGGAGCUUCCUGGGUGAGCUCUGCCUUGCAGGAGGGGUCCUGCAGUAGCUGGUUCCUAGGGGAAGUGCUGAAGGGGAAGGGAAGAGAGGAAUUCAUGUGACCAGAGCUUGCUGGGACCAUUCUCAACACUGAUAAUAAACCCUGAUUUCCUGGAAGUCUGUCAGGCCUCAACAAGCGAUGGGCUCUCCGUGGAAGCUUCAGCAUUGUUUCUAUCACAAGCCACCCCCAGAAGACCCCAGAAGCCUGAACACCACCCAACAGGCCAGGAUGAGCUCAAGUGUGGAGCAGCAGGGACUGUAGUAGGGAGGAAGCUGCCAGUUACAUCUGGACCGUAAAGUCAUAUUGGAUCACCAUGGGGAGCUUAUGGUCACCCUGGCUGGCUGCUGACAGGGGCUCCAGGCUCCAGCCCGCCCUGUGGCCAGAGCCCCGGAGGCCCAUCUGGGUGGCAUCAGGAUCUUGGACUCUGCCUGGCCCGUGCCCAGCGUGGGGCUGCUUCUCCUCCAUAGCUCCUUCCCAGAGGGCGGGGCCUCAGCCUCCCUGCCACGCCCCCUCCAGGCUGGCCUGGAGCACACGACUAUGUUGACAGUAACAAUAAAGCUUCUCAGGGACCACUGCA
This is a non-coding RNA of Chlorocebus sabaeus (green monkey), 1976 nucleotides long. The record is from RefSeq and is a predicted model, not a curated record. Lineage: Eukaryota; Metazoa; Chordata; Mammalia; Primates; Cercopithecidae.